RNAcentral lists this ribosomal RNA (253 nucleotides) under uncultured bacterium. RNAcentral describes it as "partial 16S ribosomal RNA". It matches the Rfam family "Bacterial small subunit ribosomal RNA", at positions 524 to 776 of the family's 1533-position model. The record is from RNAcentral.
UACGUAGGGGGCAAGCGUUGUCCGGAUUUAUUGGGCGUAAAGAGCGUGUAGGCGGCCUGGAAGGUCAGCUGUGAAAACUCGAGGCUCAACCUCGAGACGUCGGUUGAAACCACCUGGCUAGAGUCCGGAAGAGGCGAGUGGAAUUCCUGGUGUAGCGGUGGAAUGCGCAGAUAUCAGGAGGAACACCAAUAGCGAAGGCAGCUCGCUGGGACGUUACUGACACUGAGGCGCGAAAGCGUGGGGAGCGAACAGG